GGUGAAAUGCGUAGAUAUCAGGAGGAAUACCAAUGGCGAAGGCAACUCUCUGGAUCGACACUGACGCUGAGGUGCGAAAGCGUGGGUAGCAAACAGGAUUAGAUACCCUGGUAGUCCACGCCGUAAACGAUGAGAACUAGCCGUUGGAUCUUAGAUUCAGUGGUACAGCUAACGCAUUAAGUUCUCCGCCUGGGGAGUACGGCCGCAAGGCUAAAACUCAAAUGAAUUGACGGGGGCCCGCACAAGCGGUGGAGCAUGUGGUUUAAUUCGAUGCAACGCGAAAAACCUUACCAACCCUUGACAUCUAGUGAAAUUUCUAGAGAUAGAUUUGUGCCUUCGGGAACACUAUGACAGGUGUUGCAUGGCUGUCGUCAGCUCGUGUCGUGAGAUGUAUGGUUAAGUCCAGUAACGAGCGCAACCCCUAUUCUUAUUUGCCAGCACUUCGGGUGGGAACUAUAAGGAGACCGCCGUGUAUAACACGGAGGAAGGCGGGGACGACGUCAAGUCAUCAUGGCCCUUACGGGUUGGGCUACACACGUGCUACAAUGGGAGAUACAGAUGGUUGCGAAAGCGCGAGCUGGAGCUAAUCCCAAAAAGUCUUCCUCAGUCCGGAUUGGGGUCUGCAACUCGACCCCAUGAAGUCGGAAUCGCUAGUAAUCGCGAAUCAGAAUGUCGCGGUGAAUACGUUCCCG
This 692-nucleotide ribosomal RNA is filed under the name uncultured Gammaproteobacteria bacterium. Its description in RNAcentral is "bacterial SSU rRNA". It matches the Rfam family "Bacterial small subunit ribosomal RNA", at positions 680 to 1376 of the family's 1533-position model. The record is from RNAcentral. Lineage: Bacteria; Pseudomonadati; Pseudomonadota; Gammaproteobacteria.